Daucus carota subsp. sativus is the source of this 2859-nucleotide RNA transcript. It is a transcript of the gene named histone-lysine N-methyltransferase family member SUVH9, with no coding region annotated. The transcript is spliced from 3 exons. The record is from RefSeq and is a predicted model, not a curated record. Lineage: Eukaryota; Viridiplantae; Streptophyta; Magnoliopsida; Apiales; Apiaceae.
CCAACUACUACUAGCAAUACAUGGAAAUACACAUCUACAUCUUCACCAAAAUGUUAUUAUAUCCAGCUGACAAAUCAAAAUAGAUACAGAUGCUGUAUCUAAUCUAACCCGAACUACAUUUGGGGCUUUCGACUUGUUUCAUUACAUCCUCUUCAUGCUACAAUUCACUUGCUAUAUUCUCAAUCUCGUUUUCUAACAUCCUUAAUUAAUCUGUGUCUAUUCUCGUCAUCUCCAGCGCCUCGAGUUUGACACAAUUAAAAAUGAAUUCCGUGUUGCCAUCGCCUCGAUUUCCUGAUUUGAAUGGGUUUCCUGAUACGACGGCGUUUCGAGUGGAGCCGAAGCUUGAGCCGUUGGAUGAAGAUCUGGAGAGUCCACCUGGGAUGUUUACCCCGGGCUCGAGUGCUCGUAAUCGAAACCCGGGGUUUGAUCUUAAUGCUAAUGCUGAUGGUGUUGCGAGUGUUGGUACUAGUAGUGGUGUUUCGAAAGGGGCAGCCGCGCCGGAGGCUAGUAAUGUGUUGAGUGAAUUUAAUCGGAUAUCGGAGAUAUUUAAUUCGGCUUUUACGAGUGGGGGGUGUGAGGAGGAGGAGAGUGUGAUGGAGGAGGAGGAGAGGAAUGAGCUUGCGCUUGCAAUUGUGGCGGUUCCCGAGGAACAGGCGAUUGUUCCGAAGAAAAUUAAGUAUCCUCCAAGGUCGAAUGAGCUGGUUAGGGUUACUAAUUUGACCGAGGAGGAUGAGCAGUAUUAUAGGGAGAUUGUUAGGAGAGCGAGGAUGAUCUUUGAUUCGCUGAGUGUUUCUGCGGUUGUUGAUGAUGAUAGGAAUAUUGCGGGAGGGACGUUUGAUAGGAAGACGAGGGGGGAUACUAAGGCGGCUGGAUUGAUGAGGGAAUGUGGGUUGUGGUUGAAUAGGGAUAAGAGGAUUGUGGGGGCAAUUCCGGGGAUUGAGAUUGGGGAUGUGUUCUUUUUUAGGAUGGAAUUGUGUGUGCUUGGAUUACAUGGACAGGUUCAAGCUGGGAUUGAUUAUUUGCCGUCUAAUAGGAGUUCAAAUGGGGAGCCGGUGGCCACUAGUGUUAUUGUCUCGGGAGGGUAUGAGGAUGAUGAGGAUUCCGGGUAUGUGAUUACUUAUACUGGGCAUGGUGGGCAGGAUAAGAAUGGGAAACAAUGUGCGCAUCAGAAAUUGGAAGGAGGGAAUUUGGCAUUGGAGAGGAGUAUGCAUUAUGAGGUUGAGGUGAGAGUGAUUAGAGGGUUUAGGUAUUCAGGUGCGAAUAGUGGGAAGAUAUAUGUGUAUGAUGGAUUAUAUAAAGUUGUAGAUACUUGGUUUGAUGUAGGCAAGUCAGGUUUUGGGGUUUACAAGUUUAAACUCGUUAGAAUGGAAAAUCAGCCUGAAAUGGGCAGUACAAUUCUUAAGAUGGCUCAGAUGCUUAAGACUAAACCUUUAGAUGUCAGACCAAGGGGUUAUCUUUGCCUCGAUUUAUCUGGCAAGAAAGAAACUAUGCCAGUUCUUUUAUUUAAUGAUAUCGACAAUGAUCAGGAUCCAUUGCAUCAUCAGUAUUUGGUGAGUACUGUUAUUCCCAAGUAUGUUUUCCAGGUCGGGAGCCAUAGUGGUUGUGAAUGUAUUUCUGGAUGUUCAUUCGACUGUUUGUGUAUUCUGAAGAAUGGUGGAGAGUUUCCGUAUGACAACAAGGGGAUGUUAAUUAAAGGAAAACCACUGGUAUUUGAGUGUGGCCCACAAUGUCGAUGUCCUCCGACUUGUCGAAAUCGUGUCAGCCAGAAAGGGGUGAGAAGUAGGUUUGAAGUCUUCCGAUCAAGGGAAACUGGUUGGGGGGUUAGAUCAUUGGACUUAAUACAGGCUGGUGCUUUUAUCUGCGAGUACGCAGGAGUUGUUCUCACUCGUGAUCAAGCUCAGGUGAUUUCUAUGGUUGGUGAUACUUUGGUUUAUCCAAGCCGGUUUGCAGAGAGAUGGGCAGAAUGGGGGGAGUUGUCACAAAUAUAUUCCGAUUAUGUGCGUCCUUCGUAUCCAGCAAUUCCUCCAUUAGAUUUUGCCAUGGAUGUGUCAAGCUUGAGGAAUGUUGCCUGUUAUAUUAGCCACAGUAAUUCUCCAAAUGUUUUUGCACAGUUUGUGCUUUUUGACCAUAACAAUGUUAUGUUUCCCCGCACUAUGCUUUUCGCAAUGGAGAAUAUCCCUCCCUUGAGGGAGCUUAGUCUCGAUUAUGGGGUGGCAGAAGAAUGGACGGCGAAGCUUGCCAUCUGUAACUGAAUGCAUUCUGAGGUUUGUUGCAGUUCUUGAAUGUGAUGUUCUGUUUUCCUGCACUGAGGUUAGCUGUUUCAGUUUUAAAACUCAGAAAGAGGGGAUAGGUGUCUGCUCUUUGUAGUAUGAAGUUCUGAUUUGGAUUCGGGUUCGAGCUCGAGCGAGCUAUACUUUUUAAGCUCAAAGUUCGGCUAGAGAGGAAUUCAAAAGAUAUCAGCAUUCAUGUGGAACGCAAGGGUUGGUGCAUUUUUGGAUUAAUGGAGCAAGCGCAAGUAUCUUGAUGAGACUACCGCUACUUUACUAGCACCGCCGAGUAAUUACUUUGCACGAACAAACGUCAGGAGUAGGUUUAUUUAUCUAACUAGUUGUAUGUAUUAAGCACGCAUAUAAUUCUGUACAGGAAUUGUAUAACAUAGCUGUACUGCCUUCCUGUUUUAGGCCAGGAGGUCAUAUAUAUUGUAAUUUAGUUACAACUCUACGGAUAGUGCACACUGAGUCCGAUUACGUUUUUAUGAAUGAACAACUUAUCUGUAAAGCAUCAUUUGUCUUGAAUGUGUGCUUGAACCACGAUCGGUGUUAUACUGGCAAACUCAUAAUUUUAUAGUGGUUUUCUGUA